AAGUUAUAACAAGGUUUCCGUAGAUGAACCUGCAGAAGAAUCAUUAAAAAUGAACCUCCACAAGAGGUGUUUUCAUUCCGAUCCAAGAAAGGAACCACGUCGCAACCCUUACCCGUACAGUAGCAGGCUUUGGGGACCAUGUUUUUACUCGAACACACAAGUCGCACAUGAUGCAUUCGCCUAGUGGCGGCCUGCCCCUUUCAACAAAAAUCAUUUUACCUGACUGAACUUUUUUGCGAACAUGCAAGAUAAAUCGAAAUACAACUUUCAGCAAUGGAUCUCUUGGUUCUC
RNAcentral lists this unclassified non-coding RNA (291 nucleotides) under fungal sp. RNAcentral's name for it is "partial internal transcribed spacer region". Lineage: Eukaryota; Fungi. The record is from RNAcentral.